Molecule: transfer RNA, 92 nt
Filed under: Clostridiaceae bacterium
Lineage: Bacteria; Bacillati; Bacillota; Clostridia; Eubacteriales; Clostridiaceae
Also listed under: 1 other name
Description: tRNA-Ser
Rfam family: tRNA
About the family: Transfer RNA (tRNA) molecules are approximately 80 nucleotides in length. Their secondary structure includes four short double-helical elements and three loops (D, anti-codon, and T loops).
Source: RNAcentral
GGAGAGUUGGCUGAGCUGGUUGAAGGCGCACGACUGGAAAUCGUGUAUACGUUGAUAGCGUAUCGAGGGUUCGAAUCCCUUGCUCUCCGCCA